UGACGACCUUUAAGUAGUUGUUUGCUUAGCCAGCUAGCUACUUCAGUUAGCUACAUUUGUGUUGGAAAGUGGGAUGUUUUACUGAUGUUGGUUGACAUGAGAUGACACGUCUUUGGUUUGUCUAUAGACUGUCAACUGCUAUGGUGUUUUUUAGCUACAAGAACAGAGACAUAAGUUGACUGAAGGCUUACUGUAUAUGACCUGUGAUCAUUCUGUCUUUUGGAAAGAGAACUACACAUGCUUUUUCUUGAAGUGUCCCAAUGGCACUAACUGCAAUGAUAUCUCCGUCGAUGACCUGAUAAGGAUACAAGAUUUUGGCAGUAUGUCCAACCGGCCUCACAACCACAGACCAAGUGUAACCAUGCCAGCCCAGGACCUACACAUCUGGAUUCUUCACCUGCGGGAUCGUCUGAGACCAGCCACCCAGACAACUGAUGAAACUGGGUUUGUACAACCA
Long non-coding RNA from Oncorhynchus tshawytscha (Chinook salmon), 457 nucleotides. The record is from Ensembl. NCBI's taxonomy places the organism in Eukaryota, Metazoa, Chordata, Actinopteri, Salmoniformes, Salmonidae.